Molecule: long non-coding RNA, 534 nt
Filed under: Capsicum annuum
Lineage: Eukaryota; Viridiplantae; Streptophyta; Magnoliopsida; Solanales; Solanaceae
Description: long non-coding RNA (CANN_LNC008295)
Source: RNAcentral
GGGUUUUCUUUUGUUUUAUUUAGACUUAUAUAUUCUGAAUAAUUACUGGUUAAAGAUUCUUUAAUUUUUCUAAAAGCUUCUCUGUUUUUAAAUGGUCUUCUUAUAUUAAUUUAAUCCAAUCUAUAUUCAAGCAUAAAUUCAAACAUAUCUACCACUGCUGCAUUUUUUAAAUAACUGGGCUCUUAUACCAUUUGUAGGGGGGUGCGGAUAUAGGCAGAUAAUUAAUUUAUGAAAUAGAUUUAGUAUAUAUAUAAUGAAUCUAUUUUUCUCUGUGCGUGGAUAUUUCUUAAAUUUUGUUUCAAUAUCUUUUAAUGAUUUAUUCUUUUCGUAAGAUGUAUCUACCACUGCUGCAUUUUUUAAAUAACUGGGCUCUGAUACCAUUUGUAGGAGGGUGCGGAUAUAGGCGGAUAAUUAACUUAUGAAAUAGAUUUAGUAUAGGCGGAUAAUUAACUUAUGAAAUAGAUUUAGUAUAUAUAUAAUGAAUCUAUUUUUCUCUGUGCGUGGAUAUUUCUUAAAUUUUGUUUCAAUAUUUUU